Molecule: ribosomal RNA, 475 nt
Filed under: unidentified nematode Sourhope farm
Lineage: Eukaryota; Metazoa; Nematoda
Description: SSU rRNA
Rfam family: Eukaryotic small subunit ribosomal RNA
Source: RNAcentral
UCUAAGUAUAACCUGCCAGACAGGGAAACUGCGUACGGCUCAUUACACCAGCCUUAAUUGACUUGACCUUGACAACCUACUUGGAUAACUGUGGUAAUUCUAGAGCUAAUACAUGCACCAAAGCUCCGAUCCUCGCGGAGAGGAGCGCAUUUGUUCGCCACAAAACCAAGCGCCCAUCUGGGCGUCCAGUGCUGAACCAGAACAACUCAGCUGAUCGCACGGUCUUGUACCGGCGACGUGUCUUUCAAGUGUCUGCCUUAUCAACUUUCGAUGGUAGUGUACCUGACUACCAUGGUUGUGACGGGUAACGGAGGAUAAGGGUUCGACUCCGGAGAAGGGGCCUGAGAAAUGGCCACUACGUCUAAGGAUGGCAGCAGGCGCGCAAAUUACCCACUCUCAACGCGAGGAGGUAGUGACGAGAAAUAACGAGACCGUUCUCAUACGAGGCCGGUUAUUGGAAUGGGUACAAUUUAAA